GAUGAACGCUGGCGGCGUGCCUAAUACAUGCAAGUCGAGCGAACAGAUGAGGAGCUUGCUCCUUUGACGUUAGCGGCGGACGGGUGAGUUACACGUGGAUAACCUACCUAUAAGACUGGGAUAACUUCGGGAAACCGGAGCUAAUACCGGAUAACAUAUUGAACCGCAUGGUUCAAUAGUGAAAGGCGGCUUUGCUGUCACUUAUAGAUGGAUCCGCGCCGUAUUAGCUAGUUGGUAAGGUAACGGCUUACCAAGGCAACGAUACGUAGCCGACCUGAGAGGGUGAUCGGCCACACUGGAACUGAGACACGGUCCAGACUCCUACGGGAGGCAGCAGUAGGGAAUCUUCCGCAAUGGGCGAAAGCCUGACGGAGCAACGCCGCGUGAGUGAUGAAGGUCUUCGGAUCGUAAAACUCUGUUAUCAGGGAAGAACAAAUGUGUAAGUAACUAUGCACAUCUUGACGGUACCUGAUCAGAAAGCCACGGCUAACUACGUG
Molecule: ribosomal RNA, 497 nt
Filed under: uncultured bacterium
Lineage: Bacteria
Description: partial 16S ribosomal RNA
Rfam family: Bacterial small subunit ribosomal RNA
Source: RNAcentral